Chelonoidis abingdonii (Abingdon island giant tortoise) is the source of this 125-nucleotide non-coding RNA. The record is from RefSeq and is a predicted model, not a curated record. NCBI's taxonomy places the organism in Eukaryota, Metazoa, Chordata, Testudines, Testudinidae.
UGCCCAAAUAAAUAUGUGGGUCUUCACUUUGAGGGAAGGGAUGGCUCAGUGGGCUGACCAUUAGCCUGCUAAACCCAGGAUUGUGAGCUCAGUCCUUGAGGAGGCCACUUAAGGAUAUGGGGCAA